UGGAGAGUUUGAUCCUGGCUCAGAACGAACGCUGGCGGCAUGCCUAAUACAUGCAAGUCGAACGAGACCUUCGGGUCUAGUGGCGCACGGGUGCGUAACGCGUGGGAAUCUGCCCUUGGGUUCGGAAUAACAUCGGGAAACUGAUGCUAAUACCGGAUGAUGUCGAUAAGACCAAAGAUUUAUCGCCCAGGGAUGAGCCCGCGUAGGAUUAGCUAGUUGGUGGGGUAAAGGCUUACCAAGGCGACGAUCCUUAGCUGGUCUGAGAGGAUGAUCAGCCACACUGGGACUGAGACACGGCCCAGACUCCUACGGGAGGCAGCAGUAGGGAAUAUUGGACAAUGGGCGCAAGCCUGAUCCAGCAAUGCCGCGUGAGUGAUGAAGGCCUUAGGGUUGUAAAGCUCUUUUACCCGGGAUGAUAAUGACAGUACCGGGAGAAUAAGCUCCGGCUAACUCCGUGCCAGCAGCCGCGGUA
RNAcentral lists this ribosomal RNA (472 nucleotides) under Sphingomonas sp. GTIN11. RNAcentral's name for it is "bacterial SSU rRNA". It matches the Rfam family "Bacterial small subunit ribosomal RNA", at positions 1 to 522 of the family's 1533-position model. The record is from RNAcentral. Lineage: Bacteria; Pseudomonadati; Pseudomonadota; Alphaproteobacteria; Sphingomonadales; Sphingomonadaceae.